AAUAAACGCUGGCGGCGUGCCUAACACAUGCAAGUCGAACGAGAAAGGCUGAUUUUCGGAUUGGCCGAGUAAAGUGGCGCACGGGUGAGUAACGCGUAGGUAACCUGCCCUUGUAUUUGGGAUAACAGAGCGAAAGUUCUGCUAAUACCGGAUGUGCCCUGGAUGCGGUGGCAUCUAGGUGAAAGUCGGCCUCUUCAUGAAAGCUGACGUACAGGGAUGGGCCUGCGUCCUAUCAGCUAGUUGGUGGGGUAACGGCCCACCAAGGCGACGACGGGUAGCUGGUCUGAGAGGAUGAGCAGCCACACUGGCACUGGAACACGGGCCAGACUCCUACGGGAGGCAGCAGUGAGGAAUUUUGCGCAAUGGCCGCAAGGCUGACGCAGCAACGCCGCGUGGGUGAAGAAGGCCUUCGGGUCGUAAAGCCCUGUCAGGUGGGAAGAAAGGCUUGGUUGGGAAUACUGAUUGAGUUUGACGGUACCACCAGAGGAAGCACCGGCUAACUCCGUGCCAGCCGCCGCAGUAAAAC
RNAcentral lists this ribosomal RNA (526 nucleotides) under uncultured bacterium. Its description in RNAcentral is "bacterial SSU rRNA". It matches the Rfam family "Bacterial small subunit ribosomal RNA", at positions 29 to 526 of the family's 1533-position model. The record is from RNAcentral.